GAUGAACGCUGGCGGCGUGCCUAAUACAUGCAAGUCGAGCGAACAGAUGAGGAGCUUGCUCCUCUGACGUUAGCGGCGGACGGGUGAGUAACACGUGGAUAACCUACCUAUAAGACUGGGAUAACUUCGGGAAACCGGAGCUAAUACCGGAUAAUAUAUUGAGCCGCAUGGUUCAAUAGUGAAAGACGGUUUUGCUGUCACUUAUAGAUGGAUCCGCGCCGCAUUAGCUAGUUGGUAAGGUAACGGCUUACCAAGGCAACGAUGCGUAGCCGACCUGAGAGGGUGAUCGGCCACACUGGAACUGAGACACGGUCCAGACUCCUACGGGAGGCAGCAGUAGGGAAUCUUCCGCAAUGGGCGAAAGCCCGACGGAGCAACGCCGCGUGAGUGAUGAAGGUCUUCGGAUCGUAAAACUCUGUUAUUGGGGAAGAACAAAUGUGUAAGUAACUAUGCACGUCUUGACGGUACCUAAUCAGAAAGCCACGGCUAACUACGUG
This 497-nucleotide ribosomal RNA is filed under the name uncultured bacterium. RNAcentral's name for it is "partial 16S ribosomal RNA". It matches the Rfam family "Bacterial small subunit ribosomal RNA", at positions 28 to 507 of the family's 1533-position model. The record is from RNAcentral.